UACAGGGGGGGCAAGCGUUGUUCGGAAUUACUGGGCGUAAAGGGCUCGUAGGUGGCCAACUAAGUCAUACGUGAAAUCCCUCGGCUUAACCGGGGAACUGCGUCUGAUACUGGAUGGCUUGGAUUCGGGAGAGGAAUGCGGAAUUCCAGGUGUAGCGGUGAAAUGCGUAGAUAUCUGGAGGAACACCCGUGGCGAAAGCGGCUCUCUGGAACGGUACUGACGCUGAGACGCGAAAGCGUGGGGAGCGAACAGG
RNAcentral lists this ribosomal RNA (253 nucleotides) under uncultured bacterium. RNAcentral describes it as "partial 16S ribosomal RNA". It matches the Rfam family "Bacterial small subunit ribosomal RNA", at positions 524 to 776 of the family's 1533-position model. The record is from RNAcentral.